Molecule: ribosomal RNA, 468 nt
Filed under: uncultured bacterium
Lineage: Bacteria
Description: partial 16S ribosomal RNA
Rfam family: Bacterial small subunit ribosomal RNA
Source: RNAcentral
GACGAACGCUGGCGGCGUGCUUAACACAUGCAAGUCGAACGGAAAGGCCCUGCUUUUGUGGGGUGCUCGAGUGGCGAACGGGUGAGUAACACGUGAGUAACCUGCCCUUGACUUUGGGAUAACUUCAGGAAACUGGGGCUAAUACCGGAUAGGAGCUCCUGCUGCAUGGUGGGGGUUGGAAAGUUUCGGCGGUUGGGGAUGGCCUCGCGGCUUAUCAGCUUGUUGGUGGGGUAGUGGCUUACCAAGGCUUUGACGGGUAGCCGGCCUGAGAGGGUGGCCGGCCACAUUGGGACUGAGAUACGGCCCAGACUCCUACGGGAGGCAGCAGUGGGGAAUAUUGCACAAUGGGCGGAAGCCUGAUGCAGCAACGCCGCGUGCGGGAUGACGGCCUUCGGGUUGUAAACCGCUUUCGCCUGUGACGAAGCGUGAGUGACGGUAAUGGGUAAAGAAGCACCGGCUAACUACGUG